Non-coding RNA from Macaca mulatta (Rhesus monkey), 2215 nucleotides. The record is from RefSeq and is a predicted model, not a curated record. Lineage: Eukaryota; Metazoa; Chordata; Mammalia; Primates; Cercopithecidae.
UAUAAAUAUAUUUACAUGUAAACAUAUAUUACAUACUGUAUACAUUUUUUAACAUAGCAAAGCCUCUCACAUACAGUUACAGACCCCUUUGUCCGCAUCCUCUGGCCUAUUCUCUCCCUCCCUGUGCAGUAUCCACCCCGGAGUUACCAUAUCUUCCUCCUGCCCGUGUUUUUUAAUUUUGCUGCAAAUACACAGUCCCUGAACUAUAUAUAGCAUUUAUUCUGUAUUUGGUAUGGUUGCUUCAUUCUACUGCUGGCGUUUUCCACUCAACAUCCUACCUUCCGGGCCAAUGUUGUUGCCAUUCACAAGCCUAGUUCAUUCUACGAAAAUGCUCUGCAGCGUUCCCUUCUCUGGGCACCUCACCACUUAUUUCGCCGCUGUUCUCUGAUGGAUGCUUUUGCUUUUUUCCAGUCUUACCAGCAGGGCAGUGACAAGGUUGCUAGGUGGAGGAGUCUGAAUGUUCACCUAGGAUGUUUUUCUAGCAGGAGGAAUCGCAUGGUCAGCUGUGCGAGAUGUGCUGCUUUGCCCUCCACGGCAUCUACUCCACACUCCCAGCAGCGUGUGAGAAGGCCCUGCUGGAGUGGCCAGGGGACCCUCGGAGGAGCCUAGGCCCUCCAGGGUGGGCCAGUCUCCCGUCAAGUGCUGUUAGGUUUGCUAAGUUCAUUCAGGCACCACUUUGGAGACGGACCCUCAGCACUGAGAAGGAGGGUUACUGGUUGGAUCUAGAUGUGUUGCGUUACAGGUAGCACAAGGAGCUGUGUUCCCCGCCUGGUCAUGUGGUAGGACAGUCAACUGUCGUCACCAUCCCUGUAGCACCAGCACAUCUGAUGCCAGCAGGAGUGGAUGGCCCCACUUCUCCAGGUGUCUUCACCUGCCACUUACUGGAACCUGCUCUGUCAAGGCAGGCCCUGAAGGUUUCUUCAAAUAUAGCUGAGGAGGGAAGAGAUACUUUGCCUUCAACAUCGGUGACCCGAGUCCUCUGGAACUGCCUCCAAAGAGGAAGAGCACUUUCCCCUCUCAGACAACAUGGUACCGGCACCCCUCACUCUCAACACAGAAUGGAACAUAGUCUGCACUCCUGUAGAUGAUCUGAAGGCAUCAGGGGACCAUGUGAUACCAACCUCAGUCUCAGAGGGUAGGCCCUGCACGGGGUUGCGCAGCGUGGGGCCGCACCCCUCAGCCCUACCCCUCUGUUCUUCCUGAUCCUGCAACAACAUGGCUCUGGAAUGGAGGGCAGUCACUGCCUUCCGGCAGCCCCAUCACCGUGGCUGGGGAGGAGGAGGCAGCCACAGAGGCCUCAGGGAGCAACAUCUCCCACUGCCCAGGCCUUUGGCAACACGAGUGAGAUGUGGCCUCUGCCCCAAGGGUGCUUGCAGAGCAGCAGGGAAGGUGAAUGUGAUAGUUAGUGGUUAAUAUUAAGUGUCAACUUGAUUGGACUGAAGGAUGCAAAGUAUUGUUUCUGGGUGUUUCUGGGUGUUGCCAGCAGAGAUUCACAUGUGAGUCAGUGGACUGGGAGAGGAAGACCCACCUACAAUGUGGGUGGGCACCAUCCAAUCGGCUGCCAGCAUGGCGAGAAAAAGCAGGCAGAAGAAGGUGGAGGAAGCUGACUUGCCGAGUCUCCCAGGCUUCAUCCUUCUUCCCUGCUGAAUGCUUCAUACCCUUGAACAUCAGACUCCUGGUUCUUCAGCUUCUGGACUCUUGGACUUACACCAGUGGUUUGCCAGAGUUCUCAGGCCUUCGGCCACAGACUGAAGGCUGCACUCUUGGCUUCCCUACUUCUCAGGUUUUUGGACUCGGACUGAGCCACUACUGGCUUCCCUGCUCCUCAGCUUGCAGACGGCCUGUCAUGGGACUUCACCCUGGGAUCGUGGUGAAGACUGUACCACGUUUUAUGUAUCCAUUCGUCUACACACGGAGGCUUGGGCUGAUUCCACCUCUGGGCUUUGUGAGUGAUGCUUCUAGGCAGACAGUUGUCACUUCAAGACCUUGCUUUCAAUCCUUCCGGGUGUAUACCCCGAAGCAGAAUUGCGGACCAAAGGCAGGCACGGGUUCCGCUUUCUCUACGUCCUCGCCAACAGCAGGCACAGGGUUCCCCUUUCUCUACGUCCUCGCCAACAGCAGGCACAGGGUCUGCUUUCUCUGUGUCCUCGCCAACAGUUUUUAUUUUCUGUGUUUUCAAUGGAUGUGAGGUGGUAUCUCAUUGUUUUCAUUUGCA